Molecule: long non-coding RNA, 1092 nt
Filed under: Papio anubis (olive baboon)
Lineage: Eukaryota; Metazoa; Chordata; Mammalia; Primates; Cercopithecidae
Description: lncRNA (ENSPANG00000038171.1)
Source: RNAcentral
AUGCAGCUCAGCCCGUUUCCGGGGAACUGGGAAGCUGUCAGACUGGUCUGGGGGGACCUUUGUCAAACUGCAGGGACUGUAUCAACGCAGCCAACUGCCCUCCCCCCACACAGCAGCUCUGAGGUGGGCACAGGUGACAUCCAUCCUACAGAUGAGAAAAGUGAGGCUCAGCAGGACCAGUGGCUCCUGAGAAGCCCCAGAGAUUGGCAGAGGCCCCUACAGCAGCCCCCAUGGAGACCUGGGAAACAGCUUCCAAGUGCCAGGCCUCAGCCCCUCCCCUGCAACAGGGCAGAGUCUGGACCAGAUCAUUUAAGACCCAGUGCCCUGGACCAGCAAACCAGCACCAGGGAUGCUCUGCCCAGCCCCCUCCAGAUCCUGCCCCCAAGCUGGACUCCAGGGCCCUCCCUCUUACCCCAGCUGGGUGUGCAAGGCUCGGUCACCUUCCAGCCACGGGAAGUCCCACGUCCUGGAGAGGCCUGCCCUCAGCUGCCGUGCUCCCCAGGGACAGACGGCGGGCAGUGGCAACUGAGUGCACCCCCUCGAGUUUUCCUCUACAGGACCCACCCCCCUGGGGCCUUCCUCCGGGAGGGGCCCAGCAGGAAUGACAGGAAAGGAGGGAGACCUCGCUGUGGGUGUGGCCAGCACAAAGGGGCAGUGGCUGUCCCAGGCACCAGAGCAGAGCCAGGGUCCCCCCAGACCAGCUCUUUCUGCUGCUCUGAACUGAGAUUCCUGCCCGGGGUGGGAGGCCACAGAAGGGGAGAGGACUCUGAGUUCAAGUUAGCAACGGGCUUCCAGACACCCUUUGUGUGCUCAGCACUAUGGAUUGGGGGGCGCCUCCACACCCCCUCAGAGGCCAGGUCCCCAAGCAGCCUGUCUGCCACAGACCCAGGAGAGAAGGACAGGAGGAAGGUGAGUUUCCCCAUGAGAAGGUUAAAACAGGCUUUAGAGGUCACAAAAGCAGUCCCUGCAGAAGAAAAUCAUUCUUUAAAAACAAAGAUGUUCAUCAUGUUAAUGUUUUUUUGUUCUUUUUUUUUUUUUUUUGAGAUGGAGUUUUGCUCUUUUGCCCCCAGGCUGGAGAGUGCAAUGGGGUGA